ACUUGAGUGGCUUAGUUGGUUAAGCAUCUGACUUCAGCUCAGGUCAUGAUAUCACAGUUUGUGAGUUCAAGCCCCCCAUCAGGUU
This 85-nucleotide transfer RNA is filed under the name Felis catus (domestic cat). It matches the Rfam family "tRNA". Rfam says of the family: Transfer RNA (tRNA) molecules are approximately 80 nucleotides in length. Their secondary structure includes four short double-helical elements and three loops (D, anti-codon, and T loops). Further hydrogen bonds mediate the characteristic L-shaped molecular structure. tRNAs have two regions of fundamental functional importance: the anti-codon, which is responsible for specific mRNA codon recognition, and the 3' end, to which the tRNAs corresponding amino acid is attached (by aminoacyl-tRNA synthetases). tRNAs cope with the degeneracy of the genetic code in two manners: having more than one tRNA (with a specific anti-codon) for a particular amino acid; and 'wobble' base-pairing, i.e. permitting non-standard base-pairing at the 3rd anti-codon position. The record is from Rfam by way of RNAcentral. Lineage: Eukaryota; Metazoa; Chordata; Mammalia; Carnivora; Felidae.